CGGCAACAGCUCAAAUUUGAAAUCUGGCUCUUCUAGGGUCCGAGUUGUAAUUUGUAGAAGCGAUUAUCACGUUUUCGUUCGGGUUCAAGUUCCUUGGAAUAGGACGUCAUAGAGGGUGAGAAUCCCGUAUGUGACUGGCUGCCUUCGCCUAUGUGAAGCUCUUUCGAC
RNAcentral lists this ribosomal RNA (168 nucleotides) under Helotiaceae sp. Its description in RNAcentral is "partial large subunit ribosomal RNA". It matches the Rfam family "Eukaryotic large subunit ribosomal RNA", at positions 99 to 261 of the family's 3401-position model. The record is from RNAcentral. Lineage: Eukaryota; Fungi; Ascomycota; Leotiomycetes; Helotiales; Helotiaceae.